UGGGAAUCUUCCGCAAUGGACGAAAGUCUGACGGAGCAACGCCGCGUGUAUGAUGAAGGUCUUCGGAUUGUAAAGUACUGUCAUUGGGGAAGAACGGUUUUCUUGAAAAGAUUGAGAAGACAUGACGGUACCCAAGGAGGAAGCCCCGGCUAACUACGUGCCACAGCCGCGGUAAUACGUAGGGGGCAAGCGUUGUCCGGAAAUUAUUGGGCGUAAAGGGCGCGUAGGCGGGCCUUUAAGUCCGGUGUGAAAGAUCAGGGCUCAACCCUGAGAGUGCAUCGGAAACUGGAGGCCUUGAGGACAGGAGAGGAAAGUGGAAUUCCACGUGUAGCGGUGAAAUGCGUAGAUAUGUGGAGGAACACCAGUGGCGAAAGGCGACUUUCUGGACUGUAACUGACGCUGAGGCGCGAAA
RNAcentral lists this ribosomal RNA (412 nucleotides) under uncultured bacterium. RNAcentral describes it as "partial 16S ribosomal RNA". It matches the Rfam family "Bacterial small subunit ribosomal RNA", at positions 356 to 758 of the family's 1533-position model. The record is from RNAcentral.